Molecule: non-coding RNA, 4302 nt
Organism: Chlorocebus sabaeus (green monkey)
Lineage: Eukaryota; Metazoa; Chordata; Mammalia; Primates; Cercopithecidae
Source: RefSeq, a predicted model, not a curated record
GGAAACUGACAUGUUCCAGUUAACUAUAUUACCUGAGAGGCUGUUGCACUGUCAUCUUCAGAAAAGCAGGAACUAUUUUUUUUUUUAAAGUUUACUCCACAAUGCAUACAAUGUAGUUACUAUCACCAAUCCUCACCAAAGCCCUGCAAAGUCAAAGUACAAUUCUACAUAUAUUUCACAGAUGAGGACAUUGAAAACAAGAGAGUUUGCAUAACUAAUUCAGUCUCAUGGCAUGAAUGUAACAAAGGUAGCAUAUGAACUUCAGUGUCUUCUAACAGCGUGCAUAUGUUAUUUCCCUUCUUGAGUGUAAUCAAAAAUUCGAACACAAAAUUCUGUGGAUGUGUGGAAGAAGACUGAAUUCCAAAUGGAGGAAUUGUAAAAAGCUUCAUGGAGGUGCACAUACAACAAAGAUUUGAAGGACAAAGACAGGUCUUAAAGUGGGAGGAAGAGAAAGACAAGUAUCAGCAGAGAAACGGAGUGUGGCCAGGCACAUGACAUGAAAUAACACAGAAAAGGGUCCGAGGGCCCAUGUAGCUAAACGUGUAGAGUGGAAUGUGAUGCUGAAAUAUUAGGCUAGAGACAAGUGAGUGAAGGCUUUGAAUGUCAAGUUAAGAAACUUAAACUUCUAUUCUGUAGGCAAUAAAAGCCAACGAACAUAUAUGGGUUGUAUUUGUCAUUCAUUUAGUCAAUGUAUAUUUACUGAUCAGCUACUAUGUUUAUUAUGUUCAGGCUUUUUGGAAGGCUCAGGGUAUACUAUGGUUAAAAUCAAAGAAGACAAAACCAAGACAGUGGUUCUUAAGUCUAGAAGCAGAGAUAAAUAGCGAGGUAGUAAAACAAACCAAAAAAACCACACACACAUAUUGCACUUAAUAUCGUACUAUGAAGAAAAUGCACAGAGUCUGUACCUGCGGAUAAUGCAGGCAUGGGAAGGCCUCUCUGAGGAAGAGAUAUGAACUGGGAGUGAACAGUGACUGCAGCAGUACCUAUGAAGAGGGAAGGGUGUCUGGGAAGGGUCCUCAGCUGAGAGACAGAAACUGGAAGAGGGCUGGCGGAGGGUGAUGGGCAAGGGCUAGAUCACCAAGACCUCUGGGCCACCUUAAGGAGUCUGGACUUUCUUGGUGAAUGGGAAGCUACUGAAGAGUUUGAAGCAGGAAAGUGACACCGUCUUAUUUUUAUUUCCAAAGGUCACUGCUGCACUAAAAGAGAAGGCAAGAGUGGAAGCAGGCAGAGUAGCCAGGGAUGACUGCAAUGGUCCAGGAGAGGACAAGGGAGACCCCGGCUGUUCAGAGGCAGUAGAGAUGGGAAGACGUAUUUGUGGGAAGAGCCAACAGGACCUGCUGCCAGGUCCAAGUCCUCUUCGCCUCCCAGAGCAGCUUCGGUGGAGACAAGUCUCACACAUCCUCUCGUCUGGCCUGUGGCCUCCCUUCCCUGUCCUGCUCCUCCCCUUAUGGACUCAUCUCUGAAGCCUUCUUCAUGCUUCUCACUCCCUGCGGCUCUUCUAGAACCCUCAGCAAGCUCAGCUGGCCUGACUGCACUAAAAGUGUCGGACAAGUGCAUGACUAAACAGAUGAAUCCUUCUCUGAAGUGCAGUGUGAAGGCUGCCGAUGUCAUUGCAGAGUCCUUUCCCAUUGCAGGCAAGUCCAGAGGCACCCCCUAGGUAAGAAGACCUGUAAAAGAGAGGAGAGGGAGAGAGGAAAGGGAGAUGGAGAAGGAGAGAAAGCGAAAAAGAGAGAGAUGGAUUAGAGAGUCAGGGAUAGACAGCAGGAGAGAGGAAGAGACAAAGAGGCCGCAGAGGCAGAGACCAGAAGCGAGAGAGAUGCAAACCAACAGAAAAAUACGGAGAAACUGGUCAGGAUGAAGCAAGAAGAUGAGGAGAGAAGGAUAAUCAGAGAGGCUGAGAGAGACUCAGGCUUGAAAACUGAGAAGAAAUGGGGUGGGGGCAGAGAGAGAGAAAAACAGAGCAAAUGAAAGAAAAGGAAAGAAUCAAACUGAAAGAGGCGUGAGAGAGAUACAAAUGUAGGCAAUAGGAGAAAGGAGGGAGAAGGGAAAGAAAGGCAAAAGAUGAGAUAGAAAGAGACAAAAGGAAGAAGUGCAGAGAAGCACAGCUGCAGAGGACAGACUGUAAAUGCGAUGUGUAAGACUGAAAUAGCGACAGGAACAGUGAGAGACUGAGAAGGACCGAGAGAAGAAGGUGGAGAGACACAGACAGGGACGGGAAGUGAGGCCUCUUUUUUGAUGGGCGAAAUGCAAUUCCACAGAGUAGGUAUUUCCUGAGAGGCUCACUUCACGGAGGAGGCUGGAGAUGAAUGCUUACACGGAAAUUGUGGGAAGAGUGUCCAAUUCAUCACAGAAUGAAUUCAAGUUUGGGGUAACUAUAAGGCUCGAAAUUAGUUUUCCAUUGCCACUGUAACAAAUCACCACACACUUAGUGGCUUAAAACAACAGACAUUUAUUCUCUCAAUUCUGGAGGCCAGAAGUCAGAAAUCAGUUUCACUGGGGCCAAACUCUAGGUGUCACAGGCCUGCAUUCCCUCCACAAGCUCUGGGGAGAAAACAGAGAAAUAGUUGGUUUCUGGUGGUUGCUGGCUUUCCUUGCUUGUGAUCACAUCAUUUCAUCUCUGCCCCCAUGGUCACAUUGCCUCCUCUCUCUUCAGUGUAUGUCAGAUCUUCCUCUGCUUCUCUCUUCUAGGGGUACAUGUGAUCGUAUUUAGGACCUGCUCAGAUGAUCAGGAUAGUCUCAACCUUCCAUCUGAAGAGUCUCAACCAUAACAUUUACAAAGACCUUGUUUCCAUAUAAGGUAUUAUUGAUAGGUUCUAGGGAUCAGGAACUGAAUGUCUUUGGGGUCAUUAUUCAGCCCAUUCUACACUGCCUGAGAGUUCAUCGGCUUAGCUAAGAGCUGGCAUAUGAAGUGUCCUGGCAUACCCAGGACGAAGGUGCUGGGUGUCAGGGGUGGAAUUCUGGCUCUGUGUGAGACACCUUGCUGGGUGCCCCACCAACUCCACCCCACCUGACCUACACAAGCAUCAAGUGGAUUUACCAGGACUCAGACCCAGAUAUGUCUAAUUUCAGAGUGCUUUUUGCUGGCAUUAUUUGCUGCCUCUCAAGGGCAAUGUUGCCUACUUUACCUCUUAAACAUAGUAAAUCUGCUGCUCCCCUUCCUCCACUGCUAUUGCAUUGUUCGGAUCCUUGUCUCUUAUCUGAACUAUUGCUUCAGCGUCCUAAUUGGUCUUCUGGCUUCUGGUUUCUCUCCAUUAUUGCUGAGAAUGAUGUUCUCACAGUUGCUGACCUUGUCACUUCCUGACCUAUAACCCUACACUGUCACCUCCAAGGUAAGAUCUAAACUCUUAGAUCUGGCUUUCAUGACCUUCCAUAAGCUCCUCUAAGCCUUAUCUCCUGACACUGUAUUCCAUUGUGCGUGUAUUUAGAAGGCCAGGUUUAAAGUCCACAAAGCGUGGGUUUUAAUCCUGGCUCCUACAUGUUUAGCUGUGUGAACCUGGGCAGGCUAUUUACUGUCUCUGAGCCUUAGUUUCCUCAUCUCCACAAUAGAUAAUGCUUCCUACCUCAGGAUUAUUGUGUUGAUUAAAAAUUAUAUAUCCAAGGUACCCAGUACAAUGCUGGUAUGCAGUAGCUUUUUUAUUAUCAUUACUACAUAUGAAACUGUCAUCUCCAACAAGGUAUGAGCUCUUUAAGGACAAGAAUGUGUCACGUUCACAUUUGUUUCCAGAGUUAUUUAGCACGUUAGGCCUAUGAACAAAGAUAGGGAGAAAAAGUAAGACUAAAACAAAUCAAGAUGAGAGAGAGAUAAAGAAAAGGACAGAGAGACAGAGGCAGGGAGAGAUGAAGAAACUAUUUGUAAAAUUCUGUGUUUUCUGGAUGUUCGGUAUAACGCCUUGUAGGUUUCUUCCACGCUGUGUGCCUCGGUUUCCUCUCCUGUAAAUUUGGCGGGCAGUUGAACUCGAUGAUCUCUAGUUCUAAUUCUCACUCUCUGCUCUAGCCUGGGAAAAGUGUUUCCCUGGAGCAGGGGAUACCCUUUCUGACCAAGCCGAUGAGAGGCAGCUUCAUCAGGUGUCCAGUGCUGCCCACCACCCUAAUGGGGUCUUUUGAGGAGAAGCCAGGUUAGAGGCUGGUGGGCUAGAACAGAUGGAGAGCUGACCUCAGUUAUAAUGUGCCUGAUUCUGGAUGGGAUAACCUUGGCGAGUAUUUGGACUUUAGACCACAUUAGGCAGGUUGCUCUUAUUCAUUCACUCAUUCAUUCAUUUUUUAUUUAUUUUUCAUUCAUUCAUUUAUUUUUGAGACGGAGUC